GCUUUUGGAUAAGUGGUAGAAUGCUCGCCUGCCACGCGGGCGCCCCGAGUUCGAUUCCCGGCCGAUGCA
This 69-nucleotide transfer RNA is filed under the name Cordylochernes scorpioides. Its description in RNAcentral is "tRNA-Gly". Lineage: Eukaryota; Metazoa; Arthropoda; Arachnida; Pseudoscorpiones; Chernetidae. The record is from RNAcentral.